GGUAAGGUGGCUGAGUUGGAGGCGGUAAACUGUAAAUUUAUUCACGGAUAUUUUAUCCCUUUAUCA
This 66-nucleotide transfer RNA is filed under the name Palaeoagraecia brunnea. RNAcentral describes it as "tRNA-Tyr". Lineage: Eukaryota; Metazoa; Arthropoda; Insecta; Orthoptera; Tettigoniidae. The record is from RNAcentral.